Molecule: ribosomal RNA, 164 nt
Filed under: Kluyveromyces lactis
Lineage: Eukaryota; Fungi; Ascomycota; Saccharomycetes; Saccharomycetales; Saccharomycetaceae
Description: 18S ribosomal RNA
Rfam family: Eukaryotic small subunit ribosomal RNA
Source: RNAcentral
UUAUCUGGUUGAUCCUGCCAGUAGUCAUAUGCUUGUCUCAAAGAUUAAGCCAUGCAUGUCUAAGUAUAAGCAAUUUAUACAGUGAAACUGCGAAUGGCUCAUUAAAUCAGUUAUCGUUUAUUUGAUAGUUCCUUUACUACAUGGAUAUCUGUGGUAAUUCUAGA